AAAUGAUGUUGGUUGACAAGUGUCCUCAAAAUGGUGUUGCACACUUGUCAUUUAAUGACGGUGGUUUUAUUGUUUAAAUACUAGGUAUUUUAGGUAAUUAUGCUUAUCGUGUCCCCCAUAUAAAAGACAAAAAUACCCCACAACAGUUUUACAGUUUAUUUGUUCUACAGACCUAAUUUGAUUAAAAGAAUGUAACACCCAAAAUCAAGAAUAUGGGCCCAUUACCACAUAAUACAAUCCUCUUUAUCUCAAUUACCAAAGUUGGUGUUGAUUGAUUGAUUAAAUCAGGAAAUAAAUAAAAAAAGGAAAAGAAAAUAUUACAAUUAUCACAGUUGCCAAAUGAAACGAAAAUUAUUACUAAUCAAUAAAUGAACAAUACAGCUAAACGAAUAAAAUUUUUCUAAUUAACUGCAGAAACAAAAUACAUUCAAAAAAUCUCCAUUGUAAAUCAGAAGAGGAAGAAAAUUUCCAGAAAUUAGAAAACAAAAAACCUCUCCUUUGAUGCACAUCUACUGCCGCGCUGAUUCUCAGUAGAAAACCAGAAGAAAUCCGUUCUCAAAAGAACCACAUUAUCGUUCUUUCUUCUUGAAGUCGCUCCCACACGUAAGUACACUUUUCGUAUGAAUCCUUGCAAAAAAAUACAAACAGAAAAUAAACAAAUUUUUUAUAAUAAUAAUUCAUAAAUUUUAAUACAUAACCAUAAAGAAACAGACAUUAAACAAUUACUUUUUUAACAAAUUCGUGAAUUUCUAAUUUAAUUGUAUGAUCAUAUUCAAUUUUGUGUAUGCAUAAAAAUACAAGGAAUAUUGUACGCAUAACAAUACUCCCUCUGUAUUUAUUUAAGAGAUACACUUACCUUUUUCGGCCGUAUUUAAUUAAGAGAUAUAUACUUGUCAUUUUUAGUAACUUAUCAACCCACCAUUUAAUUAAAUAAUCUAUCUACAACCUACCCCCACCCCCAUCCCCUAAAAUGACAUGGUCCCCACUUAUUUUACUUAUUAAAAUAUCUACCCAACCCCACUUGUUUUAUUACUUUAUUUAAUUCAAUUUUUUUUCUUAAUACCCGUGCCGGUCAAGUGUAUCUCUUAAAUAAAUACGGAGGGAGUAUAAUUUUUAUGUAUACAGACUAUAUAAAAAAUAAAAACAAAAUUAAAUUUGUGAAUUUAUGCAUAAAACAAAUAUUUUUUUCUAAUAUUGUUGCGUUUAUUUAUUAGCAGAUUUCAAAAUAUAAGGUAGGUAAUAUUCUUGCUUCUAUAGAUUUUAAUUAAUUAUUUUAUAUUUCCAUUUAUGUAUUUGGUUAAAUAAUCUCAUAAUUUUUUUAAUUUUUAAUUGCAGAUUUCAACAACGAAGGUUAUAAUCUCGGUUUUAAGUUGGGUGUUAAGUUCAUCAAGGCAUACUAUAAACAACGGCAAAAGUUCUUAGAACUUGUGGAAUUAGAGGUCAUGACUGCAGUCAAACCAUUAGAGUUCUUCAGAUCAGCUUUUGAUGCUUUGUAUCCUUUUGCAACAUUAUCAUACAAAAUAACUUGUGUUGGAUAUGUUUGAUUAUUUGUGUAGAGUUAGAUACACUCCUGCAGCCUGCAAUAUUAUCAACUAGUCAAUAAAAACAUCACACUUUUCCUAGUAGAUACUGGAGCGCAGUAAUAAUUCUUGGAGUUUCA
Spinacia oleracea (spinach) is the source of this 1660-nucleotide long non-coding RNA. RefSeq lists it as uncharacterized. The record is from RefSeq and is a predicted model, not a curated record. NCBI's taxonomy places the organism in Eukaryota, Viridiplantae, Streptophyta, Magnoliopsida, Caryophyllales, Amaranthaceae. The transcript has 3 exons.